CCUACGGGUGGCUGCAGUGGGGAAUAUUGGACAAUGGGCGAAAGCCUGAUCCAGCCAUGCCGCGUGUGUGAAGAAGGCCUUCGGGUUGUAAAGCACUUUCAGUGGGGAAGAAAGCCUUGGGGCUAAUACCCUCGAGGAAGGACAUCACCCACAGAAGAAGCACCGGCUAACUCCGUGCCAGCAGCCGCGGUAAUACGGAGGGUGCGAGCGUUAAUCGGAAUUACUGGGCGUAAAGCGCGAGUAGGCGGUCUGAUAAGCCGGUUGUGAAAGCCCCGGGCUCAACCUGGGAACGGCAUCCGGAACUGUCAGGCUAGAGUGCAGGAGAGGAAGGUAGAAUUCCCGGUGUAGCGGUGAAAUGCGUAGAGAUCGGGAGGAAUACCAGUGGCGAAGGCGGCCUUCUGGACUGAGACUGACGCUGAGGUGCGAAAGCGUGGGUAGCAAACAGGAUUAGAUACCCCAGUAGUC
RNAcentral lists this ribosomal RNA (465 nucleotides) under Vreelandella stevensii. Its description in RNAcentral is "partial 16S ribosomal RNA". It matches the Rfam family "Bacterial small subunit ribosomal RNA", at positions 338 to 795 of the family's 1533-position model. Lineage: Bacteria; Pseudomonadati; Pseudomonadota; Gammaproteobacteria; Oceanospirillales; Halomonadaceae. The record is from RNAcentral.